Molecule: long non-coding RNA, 453 nt
Filed under: Panax ginseng (ginseng)
Lineage: Eukaryota; Viridiplantae; Streptophyta; Magnoliopsida; Apiales; Araliaceae
Description: long non-coding RNA (PGIN_LNC015801)
Source: RNAcentral
UUGAAAUCUACCUUUACAUAAAUCAUGAGGCUCAACGUUUUCUGACAUGAGACAGAUGAUGCUCUACGAUUUGGAUUAUGAUUCUCUACGAUUCAGAUCGUAGUGACUUGUUGCCUUGGUGCUUGAUCUGAUGCUAUCAUUUAGAGAGCACUACGAUUUCUCUUAAAUCCUUGCAUACUACAAUCCUUACUUGCUCGUGUUGUUGACUCUACAUUACCGAGAGCACACUACAAUAGUUGACUUGUAAAGUUCAUGUUUCCUUCAGCACACUGCGAUCGUGGAGUUUGGCUCAGCAAACGUUGGGACCACUCUACGAUUUCUGAAAAGUCCCUUCAAGGCAGGCACACACUACGAUCCGUUAAGCUCUACGUUUCUGCCUUAACUUCUGCACUGUUGAUCAGAUGAUACACUACGAUUUCUUCGAACCCUAUCUAUUACAUCUCAAGAUCAACC